AUGACGACGCCUGCGAAUGCCCAGAAUGCCAGUAAAACGUGGGAACUCAGCCUCUAUGGGCUGCACCGGACUCCGCAGGAAGCCAUCAUGGAUGGCACAGAGAUUGCCGUUUCCCCUCGGUCGCUGCACUCAGAACUCAUGUGUCCCAUCUGCCUGGACAUGCUGAAGAAUACAAUGACCACCAAGGAGUGCCUCCACCGAUUCUGCUCCGACUGCAUCGUCACAGCCCUCAAGAGCGGAAACAAGGAGUGCCCCACCUGUCGCAAGAAGCUGGUAUCCAAGAGGUCUCUUCGGCCAGACCCUAACUUUGAUGCCCUGAUCUCAAAGAUCUAUCCCAGCCGGGAGGAAUAUGAAGCCCACCAAGACCGGGUGCUCAUCCGCCUCAGCCACCUGCACAACCAGCAGGCACUGAGCUCCAGCAUCCAGGAGGGUCUGCGCAUGCAGGCCAUGCACAGGGCCCAGCGAGUGAGGCGGCCGAUGCCUGGGUCCGAUCAGACCACAACGAUGAGUGGGGGGGGGAAGGAGAACCUGGGGAGGGAGAAGGGGAUGGAGAGGAUGUGAGCUCAGACUCUGCCCCUGACUCUGCCCCAGGCCCUGCUCCCAAGCGACCCCGUGGAGGGGGUGCCGGGGGAAGCAGUGUAGGGACAGGGGUUGGUGGCACUGGCGGGGUGGGUGGGGGUGCUGGUUCUGAAGACUCUGGUGACCGGGGAGGAACUCUGGGAGGGGGAACCCUCGGACCCCCAAGCCCUCCUGGGGCUCCAAGUCCCCCAGAGCCAGGUGGAGAAAUCGAGCUACUGUUCCGGCCCCACCCCCUGCUCGUGGAAAAGGGAGAAUACUGCCAGAUUAGGUAUGUGAAGACAACUGGGAAUGCCACAGCGUACCAUCUCUCCAAGUACCUGGCCCUGCGCAUUGCCCUUGAGCGGAGGCAGCAGCAAGAGGCAGGGGAGCCAGGAGGCCCUGGAGGGGCUCCCUCUGACGCUGGAGGACCUGAUGGGGGUGGCGGGGAGGGCGGGGGUGCCGGAGGCAGUGACGGCCCUGAGGAGCCUGCUUUGCCCAGUCUGGAGGGUGUCAGUGAGAAGCAGUACACCAUCUACAUCGCCCCUGGUGGUGGAGCUUUCACGACGCUGAAUGGCUCACUGACCCUGGAGCUAGUGAAUGAGAAAUUCUGGAAGGUGUCUCGGCCUCUGGAGCUCUGCUACGCUCCAACCAAGGAUCCAAAGUGACCCUGCAAGGGUACAGCCAGAGGACGGGGACCACAGGGUGGCCUGUGUCCCGGCCUCCUACCCCAGCUUCUCUGUCCCCCAUUGCCCUCCCAACCCAGCUGACCAGCAAAAGGACACAAUUGAGGAAAAGUCGCUUUUAUACAAAGUAUCUAUAUCAGAUUCUUCUAUAUUGUACAGAGAGGGGCAUGUGCCCCCACCUACUGCCUUUUCUAUUGAUGCCCAGCUUCCAGUCUGUAUAAAAUGUUGGGGAAGGUGAAGAGCCCUCCCCAUCACUCCUUCUCCCCAAGACAACAAAUUUGCUUUUUGUUCCACUUUGAAAAAA
Elephantulus edwardii (Cape elephant shrew) is the source of this 1545-nucleotide RNA transcript. It is a transcript of the gene named E3 ubiquitin-protein ligase RING1-like, with no coding region annotated. The transcript has 2 exons. Lineage: Eukaryota; Metazoa; Chordata; Mammalia; Macroscelidea; Macroscelididae. The record is from RefSeq and is a predicted model, not a curated record.